This 992-nucleotide long non-coding RNA is filed under the name Homo sapiens (human). RNAcentral's name for it is "non-protein coding lnc-RNASET2-3:1". Lineage: Eukaryota; Metazoa; Chordata; Mammalia; Primates; Hominidae. The record is from RNAcentral.
UUCAAAUAUAACCUGCAAGGAGCAAGGAAGAAACCGCAAGCAACACAACUUUUUCGCCCUCAAAUUACAUCCCAGCUGAGACCGCUGCCUGGGAUUUUCUCAGCAUCCUUCCUGCCCCUCAGUAGGACAUGCUGAGCUGUUCUGAGCCAUUUCACCUGUGUUGGGAGCUGUGGCGGGAAAUCAGACGGAGCGGCGUCUUGUAGCUCAUUUGCCUCACGGUGGCUCCUGCUGCCUUUCUCCUCUUCCCAUGUGGCCAGUGGCCAGCCAGCCCCUGCUGUCAGCACUUCUGAGCUAAGAUCUCUCUGACUCCACAGGAACUGGCAGUGGGAAUCCAAAAGUCACCAUGGUGACGACUCACUUAGGAGUGUGCUGUGUUUCCUGAUCGCGCAGCAGCCGUGGGGGCAGGCGGGGCAGCUGCGCUUCCACCCACUCUGAAGUUCACCCAAAGCUGCAAAUUUAAAAGCAUGUAAUUGAGCAAUAAACAAUUUGCGAAUCAGGCAGCCUUCUAAGCCAGAGUAGACUCAGAGACUCAGGCGCAGCCGCAUGAUGGAAGAACGCACCCUGUGUGUUCACCCGGCGUUCUUCCCUCUAUGCGAUUGCACAGCGUUUUCCCCAGUGUGUAUUUACCCGGCGUUCUCCACCCUGUGUGAUCGCCCAGCGUUCUCCCCUGUGUGUGUUCCCCUGGCGUUCUCCCCUCUGUGCAUCCACCAGGCGGUCGCCCUUCUGUGUGUUCCCGCGGCGUUCUCCCCAUGUGUUCACGUGGCGUUCUCUCCCCUGUGUGUUCCCACGGCGGUCUCUUUACUCUGUGCGUUCCUCGGCAUUCUUUCUCCUGUGUGCGUUCACCAGGGGUUCUCCUUUCUUUGUGCGUUCACAUGGCAUUCUCCACCCUGUGCGUUCGCUCGGCGUUCUCCCCUCUGUGCCUUCACCAGGUGUUCUCCCUUCUGUGUGUUCGCACUGCAUUCUCCCUUCUGUGUGUUCACGUGGCGUUCUCU